GGGCUGUAGUGACUCCAGGGAACGUGUGAACAGUGGUUAUCAGCGGAUCACAGAAUGCAGGAAAAUAUCCAUUUCUAUCUUUAAACUGAUCUGAAAAUUUAGGACCAGAGUGGAAGUCAACACUGGCCCUGCGUGUAGUUUCAGAAAAGGCGCCUCCUGGACCUGCCGCACUUUGAUACCCUCCUUUGCACACCCCAUUUCAUUUGUCCUGCUAUCAACUUGACAUCAGCAUUUCCACACCCAAAUAUCCCUUAUAUGCUCUUCUGACAGUGAGGAUGUUUGCUCCCUACUGAAACAGAGUUUAGAACUCACACCUUGUUAACAGGUUGUCAAAAUUCGUUUUGCUAGUCUAUUGUUUUUCUUCUAAUACAAAAAGAUUUGCUGAU
This 386-nucleotide long non-coding RNA is filed under the name Homo sapiens (human). RNAcentral describes it as "HSALNT0101643". The record is from RNAcentral. Lineage: Eukaryota; Metazoa; Chordata; Mammalia; Primates; Hominidae.